GCCCGGGUGGUGAAAUCGGUAAACACAGGGGACUUAAAAUCCCCCGGAGGCAACUCCUUGCGGGUUCAAAUCCCGCCCCGGGCACCA
This 87-nucleotide transfer RNA is filed under the name Gammaproteobacteria bacterium. RNAcentral's name for it is "tRNA-Leu". It matches the Rfam family "tRNA". Rfam says of the family: Transfer RNA (tRNA) molecules are approximately 80 nucleotides in length. Their secondary structure includes four short double-helical elements and three loops (D, anti-codon, and T loops). Further hydrogen bonds mediate the characteristic L-shaped molecular structure. tRNAs have two regions of fundamental functional importance: the anti-codon, which is responsible for specific mRNA codon recognition, and the 3' end, to which the tRNAs corresponding amino acid is attached (by aminoacyl-tRNA synthetases). tRNAs cope with the degeneracy of the genetic code in two manners: having more than one tRNA (with a specific anti-codon) for a particular amino acid; and 'wobble' base-pairing, i.e. permitting non-standard base-pairing at the 3rd anti-codon position. Lineage: Bacteria; Pseudomonadati; Pseudomonadota; Gammaproteobacteria. The record is from RNAcentral.